CUUCGCAAAGGGGUUGCUCAGCUCGGGAUCCUGAAAGCUUGGUCACUUUGGAAGCACAGAAACGUGUGCACCUUCGACAAGAUCCAACCGUCUACCUCGGCCCCGAUGCAAACCAUCCUUGACGAGGCUGGGCUGUGAGCUUCGGCUGGUGCCAAAGGGCUGGCCAAAUUCACGUUCGACCCACCUUGA
RNAcentral lists this ribosomal RNA (189 nucleotides) under Triticum aestivum (bread wheat). RNAcentral describes it as "partial small subunit ribosomal RNA". The record is from RNAcentral. Lineage: Eukaryota; Viridiplantae; Streptophyta; Magnoliopsida; Poales; Poaceae.